AAUACCAUACUUUCAGGGAUCAUUUUGAUAGUUCACUGGACACAUGGAACACUGGAAACCACAAGAAGAGGCUGCUUUCUCUCCUGAACAUGAAGCCAGAUUUUGGUGUUGUUUUCCUGCAAGUGCCAUUUGCCAAUGAUAAUUGUUCUUCUCUUCUUUUGGGAGAGUGAGAGAGGAAGGACAUAAUCUGACUGGU
Heterocephalus glaber (naked mole-rat) is the source of this 196-nucleotide small nucleolar RNA. Its record names the gene U3. It matches the Rfam family "Small nucleolar RNA U3". From Rfam's summary of the family: Small nucleolar RNAs (snoRNAs) are involved in the processing and modification of rRNA in the nucleolus. There are two main classes of snoRNAs: the box C/D class, and the box H/ACA class. Lineage: Eukaryota; Metazoa; Chordata; Mammalia; Rodentia; Bathyergidae. The record is from Ensembl.